RNAcentral lists this ribosomal RNA (93 nucleotides) under uncultured archaeon. Its description in RNAcentral is "partial 16S ribosomal RNA". The record is from RNAcentral.
GGAUUACUCAGAGUGAUCCCCGCUAAGGAUAUCUUUUGGCCCCUCUAAAAAUGGUGCAAAAUAAGGGGUGGGCAAGUCUGGUGCCAGCACCCG